GUGAGGACCCAGACCCUUGUGAAGAGUGCCAUUGUGCAAGUUGAUGCUGCCCCAUUCAAGCAGUGGUAUCUCACUCACUAUGGUGUCGAUAUCGGUAGGAAGAAGAAAGCUCCUGCUGCUAAGAAGGAUGCUGCUGAGGGACAAGAGGGUGAGGCUGCCACGGAGGAAGCAAAAAAGAGCAACCAUGUUGUGAGGAAGCUUGAAAAGCGUCAGCAAACUCGCACUCUGGACUCGCACAUUGAAGAGCAAUUU
This 252-nucleotide unclassified non-coding RNA is filed under the name Hevea brasiliensis (rubber tree). Lineage: Eukaryota; Viridiplantae; Streptophyta; Magnoliopsida; Malpighiales; Euphorbiaceae. The record is from RNAcentral.